GACGAACCGUGCGAACGUUAUUCGGAAUCAUUGGGCUUAAAGGGCGCGUAGGCGGCGGUGUAAGUUGGAAGUGAAAUCCCAUCGGCUCAACCGUGGAAUUGCUCCCAGUACUGCAUCGCUCGAGGGGGAUAGGGGUCUGCGGAACUACCGGUGGAGCGGUGAAAUGCGUAGAUAUCUGGAGGAACACCGGUGGCGAAGGCGGCAUCCUGGACCGACAUUGACGCUGAUGAGCGAAAGCCAGGGGAGCAAACGGG
This 254-nucleotide ribosomal RNA is filed under the name uncultured bacterium. RNAcentral's name for it is "partial 16S ribosomal RNA". It matches the Rfam family "Bacterial small subunit ribosomal RNA", at positions 524 to 776 of the family's 1533-position model. The record is from RNAcentral.